RNAcentral lists this long non-coding RNA (1855 nucleotides) under Equus caballus (horse). Its description in RNAcentral is "lncRNA (ENSECAG00000034320.2)". Lineage: Eukaryota; Metazoa; Chordata; Mammalia; Perissodactyla; Equidae. The record is from RNAcentral.
GUUACUGGAGCAGGCCGGCCUGCUUGGACCAGGAGAGCUGAGUCAUCCACGGGACAGGAUAGCAGCAGCUAUAAAUUAUCCUGUGUUUAAGGAUGGCUUUCUCAAACCCCGGCUUUGGGCUGGGAGUCUUUAUUUAUAUCUCUCACAGGAAUAUUUUUCAAACUCAUGACAGUGCACUCUGCAUGGCUUUGGGGAUACUCCAAGCACCUGGUCUCCUCUAUAAGGAGCCGUGCAGGCAACAGGCCCCCAGAGGCCCUGGGCCUGGACUCCAGAUCGGCUCACACUCACACCCACACGUACAUCCCUCGCGGCCAAGCCAGACCUCCUUCUCGUGCAUGCAAAGUUUCUGCAAGACAGAAAGAGAGAACCUCAUUCUUCCCAUUGUGCUGAGAGAGGCACAGAGAAAGACAAAACCAUCGCCUGGGGUCACAGAGGGCAGUGGCUGUGAUGGAUCUGAGGCCAACUCCAUCCCCAGAUCCUGCCUAGCAACUUCCUUCUGGGACGAAGGACCCAGGACAUGUCACAGUCCCUCUAAUUCAUCCAGCCCAACAUCUGUCCUCUGAACCCUGUGCACACUCAUCCAGAUGGCACAGAACGGCCACCUUUCUGGGAAGCAGAAUUCUCUAAGGCUUUGAGGCUAGGUCUUAUGGGAUUGUCCCCACCUGUCAGUAGAAGGGAUGGUUAGGGCCCAAUAUGGCGCAGCAUUGACCCUAUUGUUGAUAGAACCAGAGGGUCAGAAAUUUGCAAAAAUGUCAAAGUCCUACAUUAGGUCACAGAGCAAUUCUCCAGUUCCUCCCUGUCCCACCCUGUCUCCUCACUCCUCUGAAGCACCUGCUGUUUACACACCUUUCCCACUCUUAUCCCACUAUCAUCUCUAGCUAUCUUCCAAGCACGGAUAUAUACAAGGAACCCCUUCCCCACCCCUAGAGCAUCAAACCUUCUUUCUCCCACUACUGAAACAUCACUGGAAUUUCCACUUCCCGGGCUAGGUUUUCCAGACAGAUUUUGUUAUCGUUGUGAUUGUUGUUGCUGUUUUUCUCUAACUUCACAGAGCACGGAUUCUGGCCACAUUUGCCCCAGGAGGUGAUCUUGAUGGACCAUGUCAAGGAGCUCCCUUGCCCUGUGGUUUUCAUCUGGAUCCAGCCAGUGGGAGGCACCAUCCAAGGGUCAAAGACAAGGGAGACAGUGCAGCCCGAGGAGCGAGUCCCCAGCCCUGUCCCGGGUCGACCAGCCUCCUCUGCAGAAGUCACGCCAUCCUCUCCAUAGACCUACCGCAUUCGUUUCCUGUGGCUGCUGUAACAAAUGACUAUGAACGUGGUGGCUUACAAUGACAGAAAUUUAUUCUCUCACAGUCCUGGAGGUCAGAAGGUGGUACCAAGGUGUCGGCAGGGCUGUGCUCCUUCAGGAGGCUCUGCAGGAGAAGCUGUUCUCCGCCUCUUUUGGCUUCCAGUGGCUGUCAGUGUUCCUCCACUUGUGACCCCACCACUCCAGUCUCUGCUCCUGUGUUCACAUUGCCUCCUCCUUUCCUCUGUCUUCUCUUCUGUCUGUCUCAAAGCCCCUCUGCCUUUCUUUUAUAAGGACACUUGUCAAUGAAUUUAGGGCUCACAUGGAUAAUCCAGGAUAAUCUCCUUAUCUCAAGAUCCUUAACUUAAUUAGAUCUGUAAAGACUCUUUUUUCCAAAUAAAGUAACAUUCACAGGUUCCAGGGGUUAGGACGCGGACUUAUCUUUGGAGGGGCCACCAUUCAACCCACUACCCCACUCAUUCUGGGUUCUAAUAAUUGCUCCCUCUCAAUGCCGUUAUAGGCCUAGGGGUUAUGAUGCUGCUAUUAGUCUUGGGGCUUUGCACCAUCCCUG